CCUACGGGUGGCAGCAGUGAGGAAUAUUGGUCAAUGGGCGCGAGCCUGAACCAGCCAAGUAGCGUGAAGGAUGACGGCCCUACGGGGUGUAAACUGCUUUUAUAAAGGAAGAGAGUGCGGCACGUGUGCCGUUUUGUAUGUAGUUUAUGAAUAAGGAUCGGCUAACUCCGUGCCAGCAGCCGCGGUAAUACGGAGGAUCCGAGCGUUAUCCGGAUUUAGUGGGUUUAAAGGGAGCGUUGAUGGGUUGUUAAGUCCGUGGUGAAAGUUUGCGGCUCAACCGUAAAAUUGCAAUUGAUACUGGCAGCCUUGAGUACAGUUGAGCUAGGCGGAAUUCGUGGUGUCGCGGU
This 347-nucleotide ribosomal RNA is filed under the name uncultured bacterium. RNAcentral's name for it is "partial 16S ribosomal RNA". It matches the Rfam family "Bacterial small subunit ribosomal RNA", at positions 338 to 682 of the family's 1533-position model. The record is from RNAcentral.